Molecule: ribosomal RNA, 253 nt
Filed under: uncultured bacterium
Lineage: Bacteria
Description: partial 16S ribosomal RNA
Rfam family: Bacterial small subunit ribosomal RNA
Source: RNAcentral
UACAGAGGUCCCGAGCGUUGUUCGGAUUCAUUGGGCGUAAAGGGUGCGUAGGCGGCGGGGUAAGUCUGAUGUGAAAUCCCAGGGCUCAACCCUGGAACUGCAUUGGAUACUGCCUUGCUUGAGUACUGGAGAGGGAACUGGAAUUUACGGUGUAGCAGUGAAAUGCGUAGAGAUCGUAAGGAAGGCCAGUGGCGAAGGCGAGUUCCUGGACAGUGACUGACGCUGAGGCACGAAGGCCAGGGGAGCAAACGGG